This 250-nucleotide ribosomal RNA is filed under the name uncultured bacterium. RNAcentral's name for it is "partial 16S ribosomal RNA". It matches the Rfam family "Bacterial small subunit ribosomal RNA", at positions 524 to 773 of the family's 1533-position model. The record is from RNAcentral.
UACGGAGGGUGCAAACGUUAAACGGAAUUACUGGGCGUAAAGCGCACGUAGGCGGUCCGUUAAGUGGGGUGUGAAAGCCCUGGGCUCAACCUGGGAAUUGCAUUCCAAACUGACGGGCUAGAGUGUGGUAGAGGGGGGUAGAAUUCCCUGUGUAGCGGUGAAAUGCGUAGAUAUAGGGAGGAGUACCUGUGGCGAAGGCGGCCCCCUGGACCAACACUGACGCUGAGGUGCGAAAGCGUGGGGAGCAAAC